GCCGACCGCUGGCGGCGUGCUUAACACAUGCACGUCGCACGGAAAGGCCCUGCUUUUGUGGGGUGCUCGAGUGGGGAACGGGUGGGUGACACGUGAGUAACCUGCCCUCGACUCUGGGAUAACUUCCGGGCACUGGGGCUAAUACGGGCUGGGAGCUCCUGCUGAGUGGUGGGGGCUGGAAAGUUUCGGCGGUUGGGGAUGGACUCGCGUCUUGUCAGCUUGUUGGUGGGGUAGUGGCUUACCAAGGCUUUGACGGGUAGCCGGCCUGAGAGGGUGACCGGCCACAUUGGGACGGAGAUACGGCCCGGACUCCUACGGGAGGCAGCAGUGGGGAAUGUUGCACAAUGGGCGGAAGCCUGAUGCAGCAACGCCGCGUGCGGGAUGACGGCCUUCGGGUUGUAAACCGCUUGCGCCUGUGACGAAGCGUGAGUGACGGUAAUGGGUAAAGAAGCACCGGCUAACUACGGG
Molecule: ribosomal RNA, 468 nt
Filed under: uncultured bacterium
Lineage: Bacteria
Description: partial 16S ribosomal RNA
Rfam family: Bacterial small subunit ribosomal RNA
Source: RNAcentral